RNAcentral lists this ribosomal RNA (301 nucleotides) under uncultured bacterium. RNAcentral describes it as "partial 16S ribosomal RNA". It matches the Rfam family "Bacterial small subunit ribosomal RNA", at positions 509 to 807 of the family's 1533-position model. The record is from RNAcentral.
CAGCAGCCGCGGGAAUACAGAGGGUGCGAGCGUUAAUCGGAUUUACUGGGCGUAAAGCGUGCGUAGGCGGCUUUUUAAGUCGGAUGUGAAAUCCCUGAGCUUAACUUAGGAAUUGCAUUCGAUACUGGGAAGCUAGAGUAUGGGAGAGGAUGGUAGAAUUCCAGGUGUAGCGGUGAAAUGCGUAGAGAUCUGGAGGAAUACCGAUGGCGAAGGCAGCCAUCUGGCCUAAUACUGACGCUGAGGUACGAAAGCAUGGGGAGCAGACAGGAUUAGAGACCCGUGUAGUCCCUGUCUCUUAUAC